This 253-nucleotide ribosomal RNA is filed under the name uncultured bacterium. RNAcentral describes it as "partial 16S ribosomal RNA". It matches the Rfam family "Bacterial small subunit ribosomal RNA", at positions 524 to 776 of the family's 1533-position model. The record is from RNAcentral.
UACGUAGGGCGCAAGCGUUGUCCGGAAUUAUUGGGCGUAAAGAGCUCGUAGGUGGCUUGUCACGUCGGGUGUGAAAGCUUGGGGCUUAACUCCAGGUCUGCAUUCGAUACGGGCUGGCUAGAGGUAUGCAGGGGAGAACGGAAUUCCUGGUGUAGCGGUGAAAUGCGCAGAUAUCAGGAGGAACACCGGUGGCGAAGGCGGUUCUCUGGGCAUUACCUGACGCUGAGGAGCGAAAGUGUGGGGAGCGAACAGG